UCAAACAAGGUUUCCUACUUGAAGAAGGGAAGUUAAAGCCAAAGAAUUAGCUCAAGUGAAGAAACCUUAUCCAAAACAUUAUCCAAACCCUAUCCUAUCCUAUCCUAUCUUAUCCUAAUCCUAAUCCACCUAUAUUUCAGCUACUUGGGAGGAUUCCUAGCUAUAUUAGGAUGCUUAAAAUCAGAUUUCUAGAAAACCUAAUCCUUUCCUACAAAAAUGGCGCCUAGAACCUUUCUAGAAGACCUUUGCCUUGCAUUGCAAAUCAG
This 266-nucleotide long non-coding RNA is filed under the name Malus domestica (apple). Its description in RNAcentral is "long non-coding RNA (MDOM_LNC010501)". Lineage: Eukaryota; Viridiplantae; Streptophyta; Magnoliopsida; Rosales; Rosaceae. The record is from RNAcentral.